Long non-coding RNA from Equus caballus (horse), 13093 nucleotides. NCBI's taxonomy places the organism in Eukaryota, Metazoa, Chordata, Mammalia, Perissodactyla, Equidae. The record is from Ensembl.
CCGUGGCAUCUGGGGGUCCUUCCUCUCACCGCGUGAGGGGGGUGUCCGUCAGUCGGCGGUGCUUGGUUGAACGGCCUGUGGCUGAGGGCCGUGGCUGGCAGCUCGCAUCCUAGGUUGGGAAGUCGGAGAGUGUGGCGCUGGCACAGGCCCCGUGAGCUCAGGGCCUUGUGGCUGUGUGGGCCUGGUUCCCGCUGGGGACGAAGGCCCCGGGGGUCUGCGUCUCAGAGCUGAGCAGUAAGCAGUGGAAGGUCGCGUGGUUUCUGAUGAGAGCCCCGGGCCAGGCGGGCGGCCGUCAGCUGUUCUUGCCUUUUGGCUUGGUGAGGCAGUUGGAGCACCCCUCGCGGUUUGGGGCGCCGCCGGAGGGGUGAGACUUUGGUGCUGCAGCUUGGGGCUCCUCUAGUUCUCCGGCUCGCCCAGUCCACGCCAAGGUGCCCAAACGGGGACCGGGCUGUGGGCCUGGCACUCAGGUCAAGACACUGUGGUGGUUGAUGGCCUGGUCGUGGGGAGCUGGGGGGGAAGAAGAGCACGGAGAGGACAGGUCACAGUGUGAUGCCGUGGGCUUCCGUGGGACGUGCUGCCUCGUUGUGUUCCGAGCGCUGGCAGCGGCUUGUCGGGAAGGUGCCCUGGCUCUGACGGGGCUGGCGAUUGGUGCGUGCCGGGGAAGGCUGGAGGCUUGAAGGCCCGGGGGUGUGCACUGUGGUCGGUGACCUUUGUGGCAGAUGGCGGGCCUUGUUCCAGAGCGGUGGCGCUCUGCGGUUCUCUCCACGGUUCCUUGAAGAGGGGCCCGGCACGUGACUGCCGGGCGGCCGGCCGCCGCUGCUCAUCGAUUGCUUGGGCGACCGUGGCCUUGGAUCCUCCGCCGUCUCAGGCGCGGGGUCUCCGAGGAGAAAGCGUUCCUCCAGCACGGUCCGAUUUUCCUGGCGCGGUUCGCCUCAUGCCUCGUCGCAGGGCUUUAGGUUUCUUCGUGGAAGCCUGUGGGCCUGGCGGAGACGGCGGGUGCCGUGACCCGAGCUGCCCUGCCGCGCACAGACGUCCGCCUUGGAAAACGUCCGCCUCUCCAAGGGUGGCGGGGGCGGGGUGUGUGUGUGCUCGUUCCGUGCCUCCUCUUGCCUUCGUGGACAGAGCCAUCCUUGGGGCCGUGUGAGGUCGUUUGUGGUGUUACAGGUGCCGAGGGAGGGUCCAGACGUUGAACGUGACGGGUCGAGUCCCGUACGCACAGUCGAGAUUCCCUCGUGGCCGUCCUCCCCGGGGCUCCCUGGCCGCCACGUGUGUGUAGGGUUUGAGGUCCUGCUUGGGGGACUUGCCUCGCAGGCCUGAGGUGGGCCAGGCAGCGCGUGGGUGGGAAGGAGUCCUGGAAGGCCGGGGUCCAGAAAGCGGGCCCGCUGUGGUAACGCCAGGUCCCUGGACGGGAGUGGGCUCCAGGUUCAGUCGGGUCUUAGCGUGGGUCGUGGUGGCCACAGACCACCUCUUCCUGGCACUUCCCCUGCCCUGGCACCGCUGAGGGCGUGGGUGUAGCCUCAGUCAGCAGGAAGAGGCGCCUGGCCCCCGGUCCCCGGUGGCGUGGCCACUGGAGAUCAGGAGGGGCUGCUGCUUCUGCCCUCUAGCCCGUGUCCCAGCGGCGCCAGCCUUCGAGUGGUGUAGGCGCUUUACGUGGUUCAGGUCCAGCAGUGGUCGGCGCGUUUCCGUCGGGCGCGGUUCGCGUGGCACGGCGUGCGGGGACAGCGGGCGCCCACGGUCGGGCGGAGGGUGAACCUGCUGGAGUGUCGUGUUCCGGUGUUCAGAGGCAGGGGCUGUGAGAGAGGGAGCCUGUGGCCUAUUUCAGCAGGCCGAAAGGGCAGAGGUGAGCCGCCGGGCGAGUCGAGGUCAAAGCCGCCAGCGCGAGCUCUUGGUCUCGCGGCAGGGCCUGAGGCCAGGGAUGUGUGCGGAAGACGUGCUUCUUCAGGGGCUCGGGCCCCGCGCACCCGAAGACACGCACACGCGCCCGCCUGCGCGCCUUCCUGCGCUUGUGCUGUCACACACGCCUUCUUGUCACACCUGAGGGGAAGAGGUGGGAUCUCCGAGCAAAGCUUGCCGUCGCCCAAGAAGAGAAGACCUUCCUGUCGUUUGUGGAGCGGAGACGCGAGGGAAUCCCGCAAGAAGCGUGGCUUCGGGUGCGCCCCGUGCCCGUGGCUCGCUGAGGCUGGGAAGGCUCGGCUGCGGUAGAUGACCUGUGCGGUAGACGGCGUCGCGCCCCCGGGAGGUUCGGCCCCCAGUGUUUGUCGUCCUAGCGCCUUGAAGAGACCCACAGGCCCGCGACUGGCCACCGGCCCCGUCUGCUCCGGAUUGCUGAGGCGGACAAUCUCUUUGACCCUGCGCCCCCUCGGGUCCGGCGCUUGCCAGGUGGAAGUGCCGUGCAAAGCUCGCUGCCGCCCACCGACAGAAGAAGACCCUUCGUGUCCCGUGACGAGCGCAGGUGCGAGGCAGUCGCGGCGGAAGUGUGGCCCGGGAUGCGCACCACGCCCUCGGACGGCCCAGGACGGUGGGAUCUCCGAGCAAAGCUUGCCGUCGCCCAAGAAGAGAAGACCUUCCUGUCGUUUGUGGAGCGGAGACGCGAGGGAAUCCCGCAAGAAGCGUGGCUUCGGGUGCGCCCCGUGCCCGUGGCUCGCUGAGGCUGGUGGAAGUGCCGUGCAAAGCUCGCUGCCGCCCACCGACAGAAGAAGACCCUUCGUGUCCCGUGACGAGCGCAGGUGCGAGGCAGUCGCGGCGGAAGUGUGGCCCGGGAUGCGCACCACGCCCUCGGACGGCCCAGGACGGUGGGAUCUCCGAGCAAAGCUUGCCGUCGCCCAAGAAGAGAAGACCUUCCUGUCGUUUGUGGAGCGGAGACGCGAGGGAAUCCCGCAAGAAGCGUGGCUUCGGGUGCGCCCCGUGCCCGUGGGUCGCUGAGGCUGGUAAGGAUCCCCCUGCACCCAGUUCGUGCCGUUGGCCCUGGGAGUCCCAGACCGCGCUGAGAGGCUUCUAGCCCGCGGGUCCCCGGGGGCGUGCGGAGCUGGCGCUCUGAGGGUGGGUCGACAGUUGCCCUUGCUCAGGGGCUUGGCUCGGGAUUCUCCGGGCCGCUGGCCGACCCUGAGGUGAUGGGCUCACCCGCCGAGCCCCGCCAGCUGCCCCGAAGGUGCUCGGAUCGAUGAUGACUCCCUCAAAUGCAUUCCUUGGAAAUCUGAACAAAAUGAGUGAGAACUCACUACCGUCGUUCUCGCCGAGACUGAGGUCCAGCACCUGGUCUUCUCCGGGGGUGAGAGGAGUGAGGGACAGCUUCUGGUUGAUGACACUCGCGCAGAGCCCGCCCAGGGCCUCAGCGUGUGGGCGUCUGCUGUGUUUGCACCGGGAGCGUGACCGCAUGAGCUGGACGUUUGCGACUCGGAGGGACUUGCUUGAAUGGCCGGCCUCUGCUGGCGCGGCGCCCGGGUCGCAUGGGCGUCUUUAGAGUCGGAGAGUGUGGCGUUGGCAUGGGCCCGGCCCGUGGUUGGCGCUGAGUACGCGCUGGCCCGGUUCUGGCCUGAGCCGUUGCCCCGGGGGGCGUGGCGGGUGGGGUGGCGGUCCGUGUCUGGAGCCGAACAGCCGAGUCUUCCCUGGGUUCCGUUCGGAGCCUCGGUUUGGGCCGGGCAAGCCGCAGCGCCUGUGGUUGCCUUCUGGCUUGGUGAGGAGGUGUGAUGGGCCCGUGGUUUUGGCGGCGGGGGCAGCGGCCCUAGGCCGCAGCGCUGCAGCUGGCAGCUCCUGUGUGUCACCUGCUCACCCGGGCCACACACAGCUGGCCAAAGGUGGCCCUGGCGCUGACGUCCAGGCAGUGUGGUGGCUGACAGGACGGGCAGGAAGGAAAGGGAGCGGAGGGGAGCGGCCGUAGUGCGGUUCCACGGGCUUGCACAGGAUGUACCCUCUUGUUGGGUUGCGACCGCCGUCGCGGUCUUGCCAGGGGUGGCGUUGGGUCCCAAGGGGGCUGCCGGUUGUUGCCUGCCAGGGAAGGCUCGGCUGCGGUAGAUGACCUGUGCGGUAGACGGCGUCGCGCCCCCGGGAGGUUCGGCCCCCAGUGUUUGUUGUCCUAGCGCCUUGAAGAGACCCACAGGCCCGCGACUGGCCACCGGCCCCGUCUGCUCCGGAUUGCUGAGGCGGACAAUCUCUUUGACCCUGCGCCCCCUCGGGUCCGGCGCUUGCCAGGUGAAGGCGUUGCUGCAGGAAGGUUCGCUCUUCCUGGCCCGGGGGGCUCCUGUGGUCCCGGGCGUGCCGGGGAGCGGGGCCAGGUGGCGGUGUGGGGCGUCGGGGGGGGGGUGGGGGGGCGUGCGCGAGGGGUGGUUAAGAGCGGUGUGCGGAAGCCUGCGGGCGUGGCAGCGACCCGAGGGUGCUGCGAUCCUGGGCGCCCUGCCCCGGACGCACGUCCAGCGUGGAGGAGGAGCACGUCUCCUUGUGUGGGAGCGGUGUCCUAGUUUCAUUCUUUGCCUUGUCUUCCAGGAGGAGGCAGCGUUUGUGCUCUGUGAGGUCGUCUGUGGUGUUCUGGGGCCGAAGGAGGGGGUCAUAGGUCGAGUGCGACGCGGUCGACUUAGGCAAAGUCAUAAUGCCUUGACGGCUGUCGUCCGGGAGGCUCCCUGCCCGCCUGGCGCGCGAGGUGUUGGAGGCUACACCUUGGGGGACUUGCUGUGCAGGCGUGAGGGGGCUUCCCCUUUGGAGCAGGGAGCCGCGGGGUUGAACGUUUCCUCGAAGGCCAGCGCCCCGCAACCCGCAGGCGGUGGAAAUGCCGCGUCGCUGCGUGGGAAUUGGCUGUGGUCUGAGACGGGUCUUGCCCCGGGUCUCGGUGGCUGUGACCAGCCGUUGCAGCGGGGUUCCCUGCUGGCCCGCCCAGGGCGUCUUGGCUUAGAUAGCCCAGACCGGAGUGCGGCCUGAAGGCGUCGGGCCCCUGGAGGUUCAGACGGGCUGCUUCUGUUGCGCCGCCCGUGGGCGAGUGGUGCCGGCUCUCGUGUCAGCCCUGUUGUCCUGGCGGUAGCCAGGUAGCAUUACCAUCAAGUGCCGUUCCCCCCGGCCCAGCUCGCGGGGACACGCUGGCCACGUUGACCUCACAUCCACGGUCAGCGUGAGGGUGUAGGUGGAUGGUCCGUGUCCUUUGCUCAGAAGGAGUGGCGCUCAGAGAGGGAGUCCGGGGCCGAUUGCAGCAGCCUCUAGCGGUGCGAGUUGGCGUCCUUCCUUGGGAAGUCACCGGGCUUCCGCGUGGGGUGGCAGGGCACGAGGUCAGGCAUCUGUGAGGACGGCGUGCUUUCCCGGGUGCUGAGGCCACCGCACACGGAAGCCCGCAGGCACGCACGCGCGCGCGCGCGCACACACACACACACACACACACACGUGCACAGGCCUGCGCAUCUGCCUACACUCGGGAUAUCACACGCGCCUUCGGUCAUCCCGAAGGGAUAGAGGUACAGGGCAAGCAGAUGCAAGGGUGCCGCGGGGGGAACUGUGGCACGGAUCCUGUCUUCUGACCAGCUGGGCACGUUUCUGAAGCAUGCGUGUGCUUUCUCUACACUCCUCAGGUGGAAGAGCCGUGCAAAGCUCGCUGCCGCCCACCGACAGAAGAAGACCCUUCGUGUCCCGUGACGAGCGCAGGUGCGAGGCAGUCGCGGCGGAAGUGUGGCCCGGGAUGCGCACCACGCCCUCGGACGGCCCAGGACGUUCAACAUAGAAUCAGCACUGGUUUUCACAUGAAAGAAUUUUUUUUUUUCUCCUUGAGAAGUAAAAUGACGGAGACUAAGUCUGGCAUCCAAACUUCACUGUCCAGUGGGAAUUUUCACACUGAAUGGAAGUGAUUUUGGAAGAGCAUGGAAUACUCACAACUGUAGUGAAGAAGUGCUGAUUUUGUCACUUUUACCUGUUCCCUUUCCUGAGAUGGAACAAAACAGUGCAAUCCAAAGGUCAACAAGAACAAAUCUCAGGUUUCAUAUGAAAAUGUUUAUUCCUUCUCCUUGAGAUAAGACAUGAAGGAAAGGCCCAUCCUCAAGGACCAGUGGGAAUUCUUAGAUUGGUGGAAGCAGUGGGAUUUGAAGCAAACUUCUGACAACAUCCAGGGUCAACAAGAAACGCAGAAAAUUUGCCAAGUCAUGUAGCUACAGCAUGCACAGAAGAAAUUUUGACUUGAAAUGACUGCAGAAUGAAAGAUUCUCCUCCCCAGAGAACCAAAGGACUGGGAAAUGACCAGAACGUAAAAGUGAGACUCUUAUGAGAAGUGAGGAGUCAGUCAUUCAGGAAGAUCUGGUAGGGAAGGGACAUUUUACUGCUUGGAAUUCUCACUGCCACUCUGAAGAAGUGCUGUUUUUGUCACUUGCACCAGCUCCUUUCUCUGAAAAAGAUCAAAACAAUGCACUCCAGAGGCUGACAUGGACCAAAAAGUGGGUUUCAUAUGAAAGAGUUUAUUCCUUCCCUUUGAGAUGUGAAGGAAAGUAUUGGGAAUAAUUCUACCUUCCAUCCUCAAGGGCCUGUGUAAAUUCUCACAAAGGUACAGAUAGAGCCUAGAAGGAAAGGGAAACUAUGCCUUUCCCUUUACUCUUGAAUGUCAGCUCCAGAGAAUGAGCUGAAAACUUCCUUCUUAGUCAGUGAUUCUCCAUUCCUACUGGUGAUCUUUUGGACACUCUUGCAGAAGAUGACUACUUGGGAAUUCUUUGGGGAGUGAAUGAUACCAGUAAAUCCCUGAAACAAGACUUUUCAGACAAAGAGCCUUUUCACUUACCUGUUGUUCAAGGGCCACCCUCUAAAGUCUUCUUGCAGGUGAUGACCUCAAAGGCGAGGUGGAUUUGUUACUGUGGAAGCCAUUACUUCUAUCACCAGCUUCACCAAAAACAAUGAUACAGUCCUCCUUAUGCAUGGAGACUCCUCUCUUUCCUGUGUUGCAGUGGACACCUCCUGCAGAUAAGAAAUGCUUAACUGAGAAAUGCUCAUAUUGGGAUAUCAUCGAUGAGACUUUAAUUUGGGCAUGGUGACUGUUUCCCUUGCUGCCACUUGACUCAAUCCCAGGAGCCUCAGUAGAGGAAAUAUUAUUGCACAAGAAACUCAAAAUGGUGGAAUUGCUCAGUGCUCCCAUAAAUAGACAUUUAUAAUUUUCAUUUGCCAUGUGGUGAAUUUUAAAAAUAGGAUAUAUUAAAAAGAAGCUGCAUGAAUUUUUUCAAAAAUUCAAAGCAUUUCUAAAUAUCUAAUACAGAAAUUAAGUGCCCUCCUCUCUCCCAAUUCUAACCCCCAGAGUUUUUCUUUAUUAAGGGAGUUGUGUGCAUUCUUUAAGUGGAUAAAUGCACACAUGCAAGCUAUUUCUGGAGGGUUCUGGAAGUGGGGCCAUGCUGUACACAUUCUUCUGCAAAUUGCCUUUCAUUUAAUAGUUUUUUAAAUGCCCUUUUUCUAUUUCAGUAAUAUACAUUUGUGUCAUUUGUUGAAUGACUGCAUGACUGUUUUGUAGAUGAAAUAUAAUUAAAUGUUUUGAUUAUUUCUCAGCCAUAGAUAUUUAUGUUAGCACCAAAUUUCUGCACAGUGAACCUCCCUAUUUAUUAAUAGUUUUGCAUUUGUCUAUUAUAUCAUGAUAAAUUACUUAGCAGUUGAAAUACUGGGAUUAAGAAUGUGCACAUUUCAAAUUUUGAAAAUUAUUGCAAGAUUUCCUUAAAAAUGUGGUGACAACUUAUCCUAAAAUGGCAAUGAAUAAGAUUGCCAGCUUUCCCACAACCUCACAGAUAAUGGAUUUUAUAAAUAUUUAAAAUCUUUGCCAGUGUGAUAGCCCAAACUAUUGUCUUAAAUUGUAUUUCUUUUGUUUUUGAGUUUGAUCAUUUUUUCAUAUGUUAUUAGCCAUCUGUAUUUUUUAAUUUCCUCUUUAUGUCUGAUUUUGGGAGUCGGGGGAGGUUUUAGUCUCUUCCUGAUUUUGAAGAGCUCAUUGAUUAUUGGGGGAAUAACCUUUGGAUUGUCAAGCAUUACAGAUAUUUUUUACACACUUUUAAACUUCAUUUUUGAUAUAAGAAUGUAUAUAAUUAUUAUGUGUCUAAGUAUAACCGUGUUCGCUUCUAUGGCUUCUGAAUUUCAUGUCAUUUUGGAAAGGUAUUUAAACUGAUUCCAUAAAACCCUUCAUAUAUGUUAACUUCUAAUUCUUUUGUGUUUUUUUAAUUCAAAUUCUGAAAUCAUAAGAAAUUUUUUUAUUUGAAAUCUUAAAGUUGCCAAGUUAUUUGCCAUUACUUGCGAUUAUUUGCCAAUAAUUGCCCAUUUAUCUGUAAUGCCAUCUUGCACAUAUGCUGUAUUCUCAUCUGUGACUGGCUCCAUUUUUGUUCUGUGGAUCUUUGCGUCUCUUCUUCUGCCUCUUGUCUCAUGUGUCUUCUUGUUGGAAGAAAUUACAGUAUAGACUGCAAUUUCAUCAACUUUAAUAAAUUAAUUUAGGGGAGAAUUGGUUUUUAAUAAUAUAAGUCUUCCUGUUCAAGGACAAGGUAUGUCUUUUUUUUUAUUCAAUAAUUUUAAUUACUGUUAAUAUUUUCACUUUGUGAUGGGGGUGUUUUCUUUCUGUUUAUUUUCUUGAUAAUUUUUCUGUAUCUGAAAGUUUUGUGUUUUUUUUUGGUAAGUGGUCAGCUUACACUUUCUCAUGGCUUCAGAUUUUUUCAAAGUACAUACUAAAUCCUUUGCAAAUACUAGUAGUUUUUAGUCUCUCCUUCAAAAUGAUCUAGAUUUCAGUUAUGUUGAUAAAGUUCACUGACUGGUACUUUCAGAGCACUUAAACAAUUGUGGAAAUGUCCAACCUUGAUUUAAUCAGAUUUUAAUGGAAUGCUUCUUGGUUUUGACUAGCACAUUAUUGUUGGCCUUUUACCCAAAAAGACUUGCAGAAAGAGCUAUGAUCAAGCAAAGCUGAGUUUAUUAAACCUACUGCAGUAAGGAAAAACACCACUUUGACAAGAUUUAGUAGUGUUUCAAAAGCAGAAAGUUAGGACUUAGGGGUUUGGGCUAAUGUGGUUUAAGGCAGGCUUUUCAAGGCACAGAACUGGUUAGGAAUGGGCAGAAUCUGUCAUGUAAUAGUUUAGGUUUGUGAAAGAGUAAGGACCUUGAUAUGAGUCUAGAUAACCAAAUUUGUGUCUGAUAAAUGAGCUGUUUGCCCAUGUGAGUUAGAUGUUAUCAAUGAGCUAUUUGCUUUGAUGAGCAAGCUGAAUCUACUUAUUGGUUUAUAGUUCAUUCUUGUUUAUAGGACACUGCUGGGGGUUGCAUGAGGUCUUAGUGCCAAUAGGUAAGUUAUUUUGAUGUGGGUAGUCUCAAUUGUCAAUUUAAUAUGCUAAUUUUAAACUUAAGAUAUGUUUUGUAUCAUGUUAGGAAAGUCUUCCACCUUUUAUAUAUUUCUGAAUAAUUUUAAAAUGAGGUGGUAGAUGUAAUCAAAUACUUUUUGCGUAAACAAUUAUAUUAUUCUUUAAUUAAACAUAUCAUUGUGAAAUAAUUCAUUUUCUGUUAAUGAAAUUUCCUUUUAUUGCUUGAAUGAACAAACCCUAUUUGGUAAAUAGAUGUUUUACUCUUUAAAUUUACUACUGAAUUAUAAGUAUCUUAACUUGAUUUGGAAUUUUUGCAAAUAUACUAUUGAAUGAAAUUGAUUUGCAAUUCUUUUUUGUUCUAUUUUUGUCAUGUUUUGAUAUCAGGUUUUCUGGUUGUGUUAAAAUAAUUUUGAGGAUUUUCUUCUUACUCUGUGUUCCAGAAUGGGUUGAAAAGCUCUAGCAUCAAUAUUAACAGUUAAGCAAACACAUCAAUGAAAUUAUCUGAACUCUUUUUUGUUUUUGAUGGCUUGGAGUAGAACUGAGGCUAACUAGAAAAUUCUCUCACUUUUUUCUAUUGUUAUUGCUUGUUUUUUAUUUUAUAUAUUUAACUUGCUUUCUCCUAGAAAAUCACAAUGCAAGCAGAUUUUCAAAGAAAGUACCACGAAGUUAUAUAAAGUGUUCUUUCAUCACUCUAUUAAUUUCUCUUGUUUCAAUUAAUAUCCAUUUUCAGUCCAGUUUUGUUUUUUUCUGCUAUGCAUUUUUAAUGAAAUAAGUUUGACUAGUGGAUUUCUAGCAUCACUAGCUCUCUCUUCCCCUCUCCCCAAGUCAACUCUUUGGUAUAAUUUAUCAGGGCUUUUUCUUUUUUUGAUGUUUUAAUUUAUUUAUAUGUUUUUAAUGAAUUUCUGUUUUUUAAAAGAAAUUCUUAAAUGUGUAAUCUACUUAUUUUCACUUAUUCUUGGUAGUGAAAUACUUUCCCUGUUGUCAAUUUUAUAAAGCUUUUCAUUAUGAACACAUUCUAAAUAUACACAGUAUAAGGUGAAAAGAACAGUGAGCGUGCAGAUACUGGGAACCCAAUUUCUACCAUUAUCAACAUUUCACCUUAUUUACUUCAUGUUAUUUUUGAAAUAUUUUCAAAUAAGUUAGAAGACUUAUUUCCCUCAGAACACUUAUUUCCCUCAGAAGUAUUUUAAAUACUUUUUUAAAUACUUAAAUUUAAUAAGUAAAAUAAAUACUUAAAUUUUGAGUUACAAAACUCAAAAUAUGCGAAAGGAUAUUCAGUGAAAGGUAAUUCACCUUCUCAAUUCUGUCGUCCAUAACUACCCAAUUUCCCCUUCCUGAUGGUUACUCAGGUUAUAGUUUCUUGUUUUUCCUUUCGGACAUAACACAAACACACACACACAAUCACACACAACCCCCAAAAUGUAUGUGGGUGUGUGUGUAGGUAGAUACACACACACAUACUAUUAUAAUUUUCUGCAACUUUCUGUUAUAUAUUUAUGUAAUACAUAAAUCUUUUAAUGUUUCUAGCAGAUCACUUCAUAUUGGUAUAUGAGGCACUUCCUUAUUUUUAAUAUUUGUAUUUUUACAUAGGUAAAAUUUAUAUAACUAAAUGCAUAGAUCUUAAUUAUAUAAUUCAGUGAGUUUUCUUAAAUGUAUAUACUAUGUAAAUACUACCUUAUUUAAGAGAGAGAAUCUUUUUAUUACUUGAGAACCUCCCCUACUGCCUCCUUCCAGACAAACCUAAUUCUCAUAGGAAACAAUGUUCUUAUUCUAUUGUCAUAGAUUACUUUUGUCUGUUCCUGAAAUUAAUAUAAAUGGAAUCACAUAGUAUGCAUCUGGCUUCUUCCACUCAUCAUGCUAUUGAGAUUCAUCCAUUUUAUUCCCUAUAUCAAUAAGUUAAAAAAUUUUUUUGUUGUUGCAGAGUAGCAUUUCAUUGAAUGGGCAUAUUACAAUUUGUUUAUUCAUUCUCCUGUUGAUGGACAUCUGGGUUUCCAGUUUUUAAAUAUUUUGAAUACGUUAGCAGAUUUUUUGUGUGAUUACCUAAAAAUGGAAUUCACUUGAUCAUAAGAUAGAUUUUGCUGAACUUUGUCAGAAACUGUCAAAAAGGCUUCUAAAGAGGUAGAAACUUUCCACCCUCUCAGCCAGUGAUAUGUGAUAUUUUCAGUUGCUGUCCAUCAUCACCAACCUUAGAAGUUGUUAGUCUUUUAAAUCUUAUUCAUUUGAGAGGGUGUGAGGUGGUAUCUUGUGACCUCAAUUUACAAUUUGGUCACUUAAGAAGAUAAACAAUUUUUCAUGAGGUUAGCUGCCAGUUAUAAAUUCUCUUUAGUAAGAUUUCUGUUUAAUUUCUCCCAAAAUUUUACUUAUUAUUUUAAAGUAAUUUUAGACUUACAGGAAAUUUGCAAAAAUAGUACAGAGAGUUCCUAUAUAUUCUUUGCUUUCCUAAUGUUAACAUCUUGUAUAACCAUUAUUGUAACAUUAAUACAUAUAACAAUUACUAAAAUCUAUAAAUUUUAUAACAUUGAUGUAAAUACUACUAACUAGUCUGAAGACCAUAUUUGAAUUUUGCCAAUUGUCCCACUAAUGUCCUUUUCUUCUAGUUCUGAAUCCAACUCAAAAUCUCGCAUUGUAUCUGUAAUUUUUUCCUUUGUCUCUGUACCCACCCCCCAAUCUGGGAGAGUCCUCGGUCUCUCCUUGUUUUCCAUAACCUUGACACAUUUGAGGAAUAUUAGACUGUAAUUUUGUACCAUAGUCCUCAAUUCAGAUUUGUCUGAUAUUUCCUCAUGUUUAGAUUAGAGUUAUGCACUUUGGUAAAAAUAGCACAGUGAUAAUAGUGUGUGCUUUUCAGUGGAUCAUGUAAGCAGUGCAUGAUGUCAAUAUAUCUUAUUUCUGCUCAUGUUAAAUAUGAUUACUUGGUUAAAGUGGUGUAUGCUAGGUUUCUCCACUGCAAAGUUACUAUAUUUCUCUUUGCAAUUGAUAAUAUUUCGUGAGGAGUUACUUUGAGACUAUGCAAAUAUUUUCUCUCAUCAUGUAUCAUACAUAUAUGCCUAAAGAUGGUUUUCUAUUUCCAUGAUACAUUCUACAAUUAUUCAUUAGAAUAUGACUGUAAGGAAGAGCUGCCUUCUCCUCCAUUUAUUUAUGUGUUCAAUUGUUGUUUUAUAUCAGUAUGGAUAUAUGAUUAUUGUGUUCCAUGAGUUUUCAUAUAUUGCAGUAAAUAUUUACUUUUAUUUCUCAAAUUAUCCAAGAUUUGACCAUUGGGAGCUCCUUUAAGUUGGCCCCUGUGUUCCUUCACAUAAUUUUUUGAGCACUUCCUUAGUUUUUGGUUCCACAAGAUGUUCUUGGCUUAUCUUAUAUUUUCCUUUCCCAAACCUGGAAUCAACCACUUCUUCAAGGAACUCUGGUUCUUUGUACUGGAAAAUAGUAUUUAGAAACUAAGAUCCGAGUGUUAGGUGUGCUCAUUGCUAUUGGGAUAUCAUUUCUUCUAGGCAUACUAGUGUGCAGAGUUGGUAUGUAGAAGUUUACUCAUACACGUAGGCACACAUCUAAAUUAUUUCUAUCUCUAUCCUUGUGUGUGUGUGUGUUUGUGUGUGUGUAUGUGUAUCUCCAUACUGAUAUUUCUGAUUACAAACCAUUAUCACAGGGCUCAUUUUAUUCUUUCCUCUUCCCUUAUUUGUAACCCCUUUCCCCAAUUGCAAGAAACCUACCUUUCAUUACCCACAAUAUGUUUUCUUAUUUCCUCAAUCCACUGUAUACAUUGUUUCAGAAUUGCUAAGCCAUACUCCUUUAAAAAAGAUAAUUACUAACUGAAGUACAAUAUUUAACUAUGGUUCUAUUUU